ACAGAGGCGGCAAGCGUUGUUCGGAAUUAUUGGGCGUAAAGAGCAUGUAGGCGGCUAUGUAAGUCGGUUGUGAAAGCCUUCCGCUUAACGGAAGAAUGGCGGUCGAAACUGCAUGGCUUGAGUGCGGGAGGGGAGAGUGGAACUUCUGGUGGAGCGGUGAAGUGCGUAGAUAUCAGAAGGAACGUCGGCGGCGAAAGCGACACCCUGGGCCGUACCUGACGCUAAGACGCGACAGCACGGGGAGCGAACGG
This 251-nucleotide ribosomal RNA is filed under the name uncultured prokaryote. RNAcentral describes it as "partial 16S ribosomal RNA". It matches the Rfam family "Bacterial small subunit ribosomal RNA", at positions 525 to 775 of the family's 1533-position model. The record is from RNAcentral.